This 465-nucleotide ribosomal RNA is filed under the name uncultured bacterium. RNAcentral's name for it is "partial 16S ribosomal RNA". It matches the Rfam family "Bacterial small subunit ribosomal RNA", at positions 28 to 507 of the family's 1533-position model. The record is from RNAcentral.
GACGAACGCUGGCGGCGUGCUUAACACAUGCAAGUCGUACGGUAAGGCCCUUUCGGGGGUACACGAGUGGCGAACGGGUGAGUAACACGUGAGUAACCUGCCCACAACUUUGGGAUAACGCUAGGAAACUGGUGCUAAUACUGGAUAUGUGCUCCUGCUGCAUGGUGGGGGUUGGAAAGCUCCGGCGGUUGUGGAUGGACUCGCGGCCUAUCAGCUUGUUGGUGGGGUAGUGGCCUACCAAGGCGGCGACGGGUAGCCGGCCUGAGAGGGUGACCGGCCACAUUGGGACUGAGAUACGGCCCAGACUCCUACGGGAGGCAGCGGUGGGGAAUAUUGCACAAUGGGCGCAAGCCUGAUGCAGCAACGCCGCGUGCGGGAUGACGGCCUUCGGGUUGUAAACCGCUUUCAGCAGGGACGAAGCUUUUUGUGACGGUACCUGCAGAAGAAGCACCGGCUAACUACAUG